Molecule: unclassified non-coding RNA, 240 nt
Filed under: soil metagenome
Description: partial contains 5.8S ribosomal RNA, internal transcribed spacer 2, and large subunit ribosomal RNA
Source: RNAcentral
AACCAUAGAAACCUGCGGAGUACCUGCGGAAGGAUCAUUACCGAGUUUACAAACUCCCAACCCUAUGUGAACCUUACCAAUCGUUGCUUCGGCGGGCUUAGCCCCCGCGCCCUCGCCGGCGCCGGGAGAAAGGCGCCCGCCGGGGACCCCAAACCCAAUGUUUUUCAUGCAGUAUUUCUGAGUGGCAAACGCAAAAAUAAAUCAAAACUUUCAGCAACGGAUCUCAGAUCGGAAGAGCAC